GAUAUCAACAGGCGUGAACAAAGUUGUGCGGCCCACUAUGAACAGUAUUGUCAACAUGUUGUUACAGCAUUGUUCAACUGUAACAACUUGGAACAACAUGGUUGACAACUUGUUCAUAGUUGGCCGCUUGUUCAUAGUUGGCCGCACAUCAUUGUUCACGCCUGUCGAUAUC
Molecule: non-coding RNA, 172 nt
Organism: Paramuricea clavata
Lineage: Eukaryota; Metazoa; Cnidaria; Anthozoa; Malacalcyonacea; Plexauridae
Source: the annotation of a GenBank genome assembly